CGCUCUCACUCAUUUCACCACCGUCCAG
This 28-nucleotide non-coding RNA is filed under the name uncultured Pelagophyceae. The record is from RNAcentral. Lineage: Eukaryota; Pelagophyceae.